GACGAACGCUGGCGGCGUGCUUAACACAUGCAAGUCGAACGGAAAGGCCCUGCUUUUGUGGGGUGCUCGAGUGGCGAACGGGUGAGUAACACGUGAGUAACCUGCCCUUGACUUUGGGAUAACUUCAGGAAACUGGGGCUAAUACCGGAUAGGAGCUCCUGCUGCAUGGUGGGGGUUGGAAAGUUUCGGCGGUUGGGGAUGGACUCGCGGCUUAUCAGCUUGUUGGUGGGGUAGUGGCUUACCAAGGCUUUGACGGGUAGCCGGCCUGAGAGGGUGACCGGCCACAUUGGGACUGAGAUACGGCCCAGACUCCUACGGGAGGCAGCAGUGGGGAAUAUUGCACAAUGGGCUGAAGCCUAAUACAGCAACGCCGCGUGCGGUAUGACGGCCUUCGGGUUGUAAACCGCUUUCGCCUGUGACGAAGCGUGAGUGACGGUAAUGGGUAAAGAAGCACCGGCUAACUACGUG
RNAcentral lists this ribosomal RNA (468 nucleotides) under uncultured bacterium. Its description in RNAcentral is "partial 16S ribosomal RNA". It matches the Rfam family "Bacterial small subunit ribosomal RNA", at positions 28 to 507 of the family's 1533-position model. The record is from RNAcentral.